CCUACGGGAGGCAGCAGUGGGGAAUUUUGGACAAUGGGCGCAAGCCUGAUCCAGCUAUUCCGCGUGUGGGAUGAAGGCCCUCGGGUUGUAAACCACUUUUGUAGAGAAAGAAAAGACACCUUCGAAUAAAGGGUGUUGCUGACGGUACUCUAAGAAUAAGCACCGGCUAACUACGUGCCAGCAGCCGCGGUAAUACGUAGGGUGCGAGCGUUGUUCGGAAUGACUGGGCGUAAAGGGUGCGUAGGCGGUUGUACAAGUUAGAAGUGAAAUACCCAGGGCUUAACUCGGGUGCUGCUUCUAAAACUGUAUGACUUGAGUGGAGUAGAGGUUAGUGGAAUUCCUAGUGUAGCGGUGGAAUGCGUAGAUAUUAGGAGGAACACCAGAGGCGAAGGCGGCUAACUGGACUGCAACUGACGCUGAGGCACGAAAGUGUGGGGAGCAAACAGGAUUAGAUACCCCAGUAGUC
RNAcentral lists this ribosomal RNA (466 nucleotides) under uncultured bacterium. RNAcentral describes it as "partial 16S ribosomal RNA". It matches the Rfam family "Bacterial small subunit ribosomal RNA", at positions 338 to 795 of the family's 1533-position model. The record is from RNAcentral.